Molecule: long non-coding RNA, 868 nt
Organism: Alexandromys fortis (reed vole)
Lineage: Eukaryota; Metazoa; Chordata; Mammalia; Rodentia; Cricetidae
Exons: 3
Source: RefSeq, a predicted model, not a curated record
CGUAAUGCUUCUGUCUUUUCUAGGACUUCCUGUAAAUGGGUUCACAGACUUCUUUCACAGACUCCUGCCUGGCAAUUGCUGAGCAAUAUCCCCCCUGUCACUCGGACCUGAGCUCUAUUGAGUCAAAGGAUGCACAGUGCGCUCUUGCUUCUUGUUCACCGUGAAGGAAGCAGUUGAGGACGGUCGAGUCCAAGUGUUGGUGGACAUAGGUCGUUAGUUUUGCGGGUGACACAUAGGAGUGAGGUGGUCGAAUCACGCGCUAAAAACUUCUGGAAUCCUGAGAAAACACAACACUCUGGCUGCACCACCUGGAAACUCCCAGUCAGCCUGGGACCUGAGGUGAUUUAUGCAAACACUCAGGGGCAGAUAUUCUUCACUUGGUACUGAUGAGCUGUCUUCCAUGCAAAUACGGGCUCUUCAUUUUACUGCAAGUCACGGUGCUGCCCUGGUCGUCUCCAGCUGGACUUGAAACUCAGUUUGAUAAAGAGUCCUGCGAAACAGUGCCUGCGGAGUCACAGCGCCAGGUUCCCGUGCUUUCCUGAAAUGCCAGGCUUGAGUUCCCUAUGAAGCAGGGCCUUGCUCGCCAAGCUCCCACGGCUUGCCCUUCAAAUGGCCUGAAUUAUCUGGCACUCUGCAUUGCCACUGAAAUGAAAAAGAAAAAAGUUUCAUUGGAAGCGAGCGUGCUCACCCAAACCCGCAAUGAUUGUGUAAACAUUCUGCCGUGAGACUCUGGAGCGCAGCUGCCCCCUGCUGGGGAGACCAAGGCGGCUGGUGGGAGCGAGGAACGUGCUAGCAUCUUUCCGCGGUGCACGCUAGCUGUGGUGCAUGACGGGAACCGAAACGCGGAACUAAAAAAGUCAAUCUUGCA